ACAAUUUGAUAACCAGGGUUGACUGCUACAAAAAUCAGCCUAAAAAACCAAAGCAAAACCCUAAACCUCUGUUGCAACUCAGACGUAGCUUUUAGAUGUACAGUGGUCACCAUUAAAAUCCUCAACAUUUUGCCUUUGCAAACCGAUAUGACUGUGGUAUUCCCCAUGCAUAGUAUAGAGUGCUACAGUAAUCUUCGUUGCCAUUACAUUUAUAAAGAUUUUAAUAGAAAUGACUUCAAUUGAUCUGCAAUAUCCGUUUGUCUCUUAAGUAACAGUAUAUAUGUACUUUGUCUAGUAUUGGUAGUUAUUUUUCCUUUGGUCUUAAGCUAAAGAGAAGAAGGCUAAAUUAUCCACAGUAGUGUUUUCACAGUUUCCAUUUUCAUUUGGAGAAAAUCAGAUAUGGGGACACAAUCAGUUGGUUAAUCAUUAGAGCUGGGUGACAUUUUUUGGGUGAAUCGUUUACUCACCAAAAAAUACCAUUUUGGUGGAUCUGAAACCAUUUGCUAAUUCAACUCAAUAGUUCUGGCUGGAAAAAGUUUUUUCAGAGUCAGCAGAGUGAGUGUGUGCGUGCGCCCUGCCCCCCUUUAUUAACUUUAGUCAAGUGCAUAGGGCACUGGGAUGCAGGAGACCCAGGUUUGAAUCUCCACUCUGGAGCAGCGGCUUUAAAUGAGAUUUCCCGCCUCCCAGGUGAGUGCCUUAAUAACUAGACUAUAGACUCAUCAUCAUCACUCUCUUUGGCCAGUGACUAUUUAAAAAUUUGUACAAAGUGGAGCAGUUUCAACAGGAGAGAUUGAGAGCAACCUGCUCUAGAAUAGCCUAUAGCUUGAGGGAAAGACCUGAUUUCAAGUCCCUGCUCUAGAGUGGGGAUUCAAACCUGGGAGUUCCACAUCCUGGGCAAAGCCUGUAACCUCUGGGCCAAAGGUUAUAAAGGUACUCAGACGUAUAUGGGUGUAUGUUUGCUGACCCUGAAAUGGACUUUUCCAAUUUGCUGACUUUUUAGAACUAAACCUAGUUAUCUUCCUGACUUUUUCAGUUUGCUGGCCAAACCAAAAAAUCAGUUAUUUGCCCAGCUUUGUUAGUCCGUAAGGAUUUCUUGAAGAUCUAUCCUUUUUCUUAAACUUUGUGUCAAGAGUGGUUAGUUGUACUUUAUUCUUAAGAAGUUAAUCUCUGAUUUAGUGGUCUGCAGAUACUUUCAAAAUUCAGAUUGAAAAUGUAAUUUUAAGGAACUAACUAUUUUACUCUCAUUUAUAUUUAAACUUGUUAUAAAUUGUCUUAAUUUUGAUACACAGAAUGCAAAUGAAUAGUACAAAGACUUAGAUGUGUAUAGAUUAAAUGUGUGAUAUUACAAGAGGUGGUUAAACAUCGGUCAGUUGAUAUGCUGUUACAUGAAAGUUAAACUUGAGCCUGAAACGCAUGUAGCAUUUUUGUAGUGUGUGUGUAUAUAUACUGUAAUUACGUGUGUGUGUGUGUCUAUUAAAAAUAGAGUAGAGAUCUUCUAGAUUGUAAUGCAAGAUCGGAAACAGUUAAGUAUAGUGUAUGUGAAAUCAAUGUUUAUAUCCUUAUGAAGCUCCAAGAGAUUUUCCACAAGAUAUAUUGUACUUUUAGUUUAUUAUAUGUUAGUCUGUCAUAACAAGUAACCUUAGCUGACUUGGUGUAUCUCUUGGAUUGUACUUUUGACAUUGAAGUUCUGUUUGUGCAGUAACCAUUAGGUGGAGUAUAGGGCUCUAGACAGCCAAGAAAACUUGUGUAAGAGAAUUAGUGGUGCCUUCAGUGUGAAUUGGAGAUCCAGGUCAUAUCUGUGAUAUGUAAUGUUUUGGCUUAGUAUAUCUAGAUUAAUCCGGAAUGACCUGACUCGCCAUCAUGCUCAAAAAUCUGUCUCCAACACUUAUCUGCUUUAGGAUCAGAUCUUUGUAACUUGUCAAAUACAUAAAUCUGUGGUUUAUGGUUUUGGGUUUUAGCAUAUUUCAUUGUGUUUUUAAAAUAGAAAUUCAACUUAAAAAUUGGCUCUCAGUACUUCAGAGGUACAUACGGUUAAAAUAACAGACGGCCAAGUAGAUAGUCUGGUCUAAAUUUUCAAAAAUAGCCAGUGAUUUUGAGUGCCUUUGUUUUUGGGUGGCCAACUUUAAGAAAUGUGGACAGAAAUGACAACCUUACUUGGGCAUAUUAAACAUAUUUUUGUGUGAAUGUGGGGAGGCGGGAAUCUGUCUUUAUCUUUAACAGUUAGAGAGGUAUAGUAGGCAGUUUUUGCAAAAUUCUCACUUCUGGUAAUGCAUUGUUACUUUAUGGAAGGAAAAAAAGCAUCUUAACCCAUUGACCUCAUGAGCUGAUAUUGUCUGCCACAGCUGCUUUUAGCAAAACAUGAAAAGAAAAAUGGUCAUGUCAAAUUGUAUGUGCUUGACAAGCAAAGGAAAACAGUGCAGUUUCAUGUGAUAUAAAAACAUUUUUGCUGCAAGAACUUCAUUUUUGAUCAUGUGAUCUAGAUGGUACAUGUGUUUUCUUUGACUGCUCAGACUGUAAUUAAAGUAGUGUAGUCACUGACCUUACUUUAUUCAACUUGGUGUCUUUCAAUUUCUUAUCUUUAAAGAAUUUUUUUUUUCACAAUUAGCUUGAGAAGGCCUGGAGCUCAAGAAAAUAUACUGUGGGAAAUAAUUAUCUUCUGAUAAAGGAAUGUACUAGAUAACCUAAUUGCUCCUGCCCAUUGAAAUUAAAUAUGUCAUAAUGUAGAAUAUGAAUGUUCUAAAAGAUUUUUUGAAAUGUGAAUACUAUCCCUUAGAUUAAAAAUAAACUUUUUUUUUUUCUUUUGGCAAAUUAUUAAACUCUUUUUUUGUAAGGGACAGUGAUUCAGUCUUCAGGAAUAUUUUAAAGUGAAAAUUUCCAAAUCAGAAAUUUAGAUUUGUGAACAGAUAUAAGGCAUGGGACUGCUGUUUCAUUGGCAUGUACUAAUCUUGAAAAUUCUGCUUCUGGAAGUUGAACAAAUUUAUUUCUUAUUUGUGUAUUCUGCAGUUCAUGACAAUAAAGUUAACAGUUCAUUUCUGAUCAAAAUAUUUUGUUGAAGUCUGUGGCCCUGAUCCUGCAAAGACUUAAGUGGGGGCUUUGAUUUUUGCUGUAUCUGGGCCUUUAUCGCAGAAACACGUAGUUUGGUUUGCCUACACUUUAACCCGCCAUUGUCAUAAAAUAAUAAUGUAUGCAUUUCUUUAAUUAUAUGUAGUAUUAGAAUUUGAGCAUUUGAUACUUUUUUUUCUAUCUCCACCACAUCAGGACCAGGAUAUGGAAUGAUAAAUUUAAAAAAAAUUAUUUGUAUUGAUCAUGCAAGAAGAGUAAGUAAACGUGCAUACAUAUUGGAAGGAAAAAAUUGGUCAGUGACAAAACUGCUGACUUCAUGAAGGCCAGGAUUUCACCUGGAAAUUCUGUGCAAUAGUGUUGUUUUUUCUCCCCUCAAAUACGCAUGUCAAGCACUGGUAAUCAGAUUUGAUUUCUACAAAAAAGGCACAUGCCUAGCAGAG
Molecule: long non-coding RNA, 3503 nt
Organism: Chelonia mydas (Green sea turtle)
Lineage: Eukaryota; Metazoa; Chordata; Testudines; Cheloniidae
Exons: 2
Source: RefSeq, a predicted model, not a curated record